RNA transcript from Oncorhynchus masou masou (cherry salmon), 1241 nucleotides. It is a transcript of the gene named translocation protein SEC62-like, with no coding region annotated. The record is from RefSeq and is a predicted model, not a curated record. The transcript has 4 exons. Lineage: Eukaryota; Metazoa; Chordata; Actinopteri; Salmoniformes; Salmonidae.
GAGACGGCGCUGCUCAUUGGCUACUGUGGACCUGCAAUAUUCUGUUCACUGUACGAGCGCCUAAGAUUGGCUACGUUGGAUCUGCAAUGCGUCAAGCAAUGGCGCCUAAUGUUACCUCAGUGGUUUUGGAAAAUGGUGUAACCGGACAGUCUACGUUGUAACACAGAGUAUUUUUGCAAUACUGUAAUAAUUGCUUACGACAAGACGUUUCUUUCAGUCUUUGUAGUUUCCUCCUCACCUGGCAAGGGCUCGAUUUGAGUUUUUCGGGAGGAGUGGUGGUGAUAGGCGAUUGGUCACCGUAAACAUACACGGAACAUGUAGUCGCGGAAUUUUAAAUGGCGGGUUUCGAUGAAGUCAUAGAAUUACAAUAUUAGAAAGCUUGUGCUGAUUCCAAGUAUUUUUUGUAAAUUAGACCAGUACUGGAUACAAAAAUCAAGAUUUACCAAUUUACUAUGGCUAAACAAACUGUUUAAUAGUAAUGAUGAUUGAUUUUAGACAAUUAUCUCGCAGCCUGCAACAAUCAAUGGACUGGCAAACCAUUGAAUUAACGAUGAAUCCCAACAACAUUCACGCUUUAAUCAGUUUAUGGAAGUGACUGAUUGAUUCAUGCUCAAAGAUGAAUAGGCUAAACUAAAUCAUAAAAUGUGCCAUCAAGAUAACAUGAUUUAGCCUAAAAUUAUAGCUACUACCCCUCCAACAAACCACAGUCGCUUCCGAGAUGACGUCAUAGUUAUCCGACUGUUUACAUGCAGAGGAGAACAACACAUGGCUCUAUUUCCAGCUUUUGUACGAUUAUCAAAUACAAAACCUGAGAAUGCACCUAAAGACAGCAGAUAGGGAGGAUAAGAAUGGCUACCCAUCCAAGAAGAAUAAAAAGAAGAAGAAGAAUAAAAAGAAGAAGCACAAGAAGAAGAAUGGAGAACCCUCUACAGCAAGCAGUGGCUCAUAUUCAAAUACUAUCUACUCCAGUGAUCUCCUGAAAAAGGCUGAGACUACACCUCACACUGCGUUACAGGAGGUCUACUCUGGGUGUCUAGGCUGACUGCCAGUUGAAGGAGCUCUUCUUGACAGACUCUGAACUAACUACGACACACACACACACACGUCUUUAUGCCUCUCUUUCAGGGACAGACUCCUAAACAGGAGACUUGUUGAGGAGGUGCAGUGUCAGCUGGAGGGGGAGGGGUCUUUUGUGUGGCUGGACGACCUCUAGACCCCUACCGAUUGGCCCUUCUGCGUGG